RNAcentral lists this ribosomal RNA (468 nucleotides) under uncultured bacterium. Its description in RNAcentral is "partial 16S ribosomal RNA". It matches the Rfam family "Bacterial small subunit ribosomal RNA", at positions 28 to 507 of the family's 1533-position model. The record is from RNAcentral.
GACGAACGCUGGCGGCGUGCUUAACACAUGCAAGUCGAACGGAAAGGCCCUGCUUUUGUGGGGUGCUCGAGUGGCGAACGGGUGAGUAACACGUGAGUAACCUGCCCUUGACUUUGGGAUAACUUCAGGCAACUGGGGCUAAUACCGGAUAGGAGCUCCUGCUGCAUGGUGGGGGUUGGAAAGUUUCGGCGGUUGGGGAUGGACUCGCGGCUUAUCAGCUUGUUGGUGGGGUAGUGGCUUACCAAGGCUUUGACGGGUAGCCGGCCUGAGAGGGUGACCGGCCACAUGGGGACUGAGAGACGGCCCAGACUCCUACGGGAGGCAGCAGUGGGGAAUAUUGCACAAUGGGCGGAAGCCUGAUGCAGCAACGCCGCGUGCGGGAUGACGGCCUUCGGGUUGUAAACCGCUUUCGCCUGUGACGAAGCGUGAGUGACGGUAAUGGGUAAAGAAGCACCGGCUAACUACGUG